Molecule: long non-coding RNA, 344 nt
Filed under: Equus caballus (horse)
Lineage: Eukaryota; Metazoa; Chordata; Mammalia; Perissodactyla; Equidae
Description: lncRNA (ENSECAG00000058592.1)
Source: RNAcentral
AGACUGCUCCGGGGAAGAAUUCUUCCCCUUCCUUCUACUGGCUAUCCUUUUUCUAAUACAAUGAACAGCAUCUAAGCCAGGUUUCUGCCCCAUAUUUUGAGGCCCUGGAUGAACCAAGCCUGGAUAGCUGAGAAACAAACUCAGGUCCUAAGGCAGUCAUGUCCACCUUGCUGGCUUUCACAUCUCUAUACUUAAUCCUGGAGGAAACAGAAGAACACCUGUUUGAGCCAGAAUUCUUGUCAGGAGGACUUCUGGAUAGGAGGAGUAAAUGUAUAAAGAGAUGGUCCAAAGUUUCAAGCUAGGAUCCCUUUCCUAUUUGCUUUAAACUUUAUAGAAAACUCCCC